CUGGCUAUCAUCCUCUCAAACACUACCUGGGGAAUUUGCUCGUCGUCAUUGUUAUUGUUCUUAUUUGAGUUUUUGUUGGCAGCGUUUUCUUUCGCUGUAGCUGGUGGUGUGCUCGCAAAUCCUUUGGCGUUGGCCUGCAAUUCCCAUGUUGAUGAGGGUUGGUUUUGGCUCUGGUUUUUUAUGAUUGUGGGAAGGAUUGUUGGGGUUCUUAGAUCCCAUAAAAAAGGCUUUGGAAGGUAAAAUUGCUGUAUUUCUAAAGCGAGAAGAGUCUUCAUUGCUUCAUUGACCCCUUUUUUUUUUUGGUUCAAGAAGCCAUGCUUAAGGUUCUUAUGGCCAUUUUUACCUUAUCCGGAAACAAUGAACGGCAGUGGUUUCUCGUAUGAUAUGAGAUAUUUUGGUUUUAGAAUCUAAUUAAGAUAUUUCCAGAAAAAUAUUUAGUUAGGUUUUGUUGUAUUUGACAUUGACAGAAACCCCUGGUCAAUUUCUUCUGCCGUGGCAAUUUCAUCUUUUAAUUUUUGAAGAUACAAGCACUUACAAGUUAAAUCAAGGAUGUCAAAUUUUCAAUCUUUUCCAAAUCAACUGAGCUUGAUAAAAAUUUUAACUUUUGAUUUCAAGAAAGAUGACAAUGAAUAUUGUAUUAUGGGAAAAGAUAAAUAUUAUUUUAAAUUUUUAUCGAUUAUGAAAAUUGAUAGAAUAAUAUAGUACUUUUUUCAUAUAUGUAUUUUAUAUUUAUUUUUUAAUAAAUAAACUUUUUAUUAAAAAAUAUUAAUUGUUAUUUUAAAUUUAUUAAAAUUAAUAUAUAUAUUUUUUAAAAUAUAUUAAUACAUAUUUAUAAAAAAUUAUAUAAAUAUACAUGAUAAAAUUAAAAAUUAAAAAGAAAUUAUAUUUUUAUUUUUUUUAAGUUAUGGGUUUAAAAAUUAUUUAUACAUAUUGAAUUUUUUUAGAAAUAAAAAUAAAUUUAAAAUAUUCAUUAAAUAUAAAUAUAAAAAUAAAUAUAAUAUAAAAAUUAAUAAAAAUAAAGAAUACUUUUUACGUUCCAUACUUUAUCUAUUGACAUAGUUGAUGUCAUUUAAUCUUUGCAUCGAACAUUCAAUUUAAUGUCAUGGAUACCUACUAACCUUGUUUUAAAAAAUUAAAUUAAAUUUCUCUUCCUCGAUAAAAAAGAAAACAGUUAAAAUAAUAAAAAAAAUUAAACUUUAUCACUAUUUUAAAAAAAUUUAUAUAUUUAUAUUAUAUUUAAAUAAAUUCUUAAAUUUUAUUUUAUAUUUAAAUGCAUUCUUUUUUUAUUAAAAAAUACAUUCUUAUUUUAUUUUAAAAAAUAAAUUAUUAUUUCAAUUAAAAAGUUGACUUAUCUUACCAUCAAUAUUAACUGAUUUUUUUUGUUUAUAUGAAAAUUGGCGUGACUUGAUGAUAUAAAAAAAUAUCAAAAAAUAUUUUUAACAUAGUUAAAAAUUGAAAAUUAAAAAAAUCUUGAAAAAUAAAAAUAUUUUAAUUUUCAUCUGUUGAUCAACUUAUAUGUAAAUAAAAAAAAUCCAACUGAUGUUGACAGUAAUAAAAGUAAAAAUUUCCUAUUAUAACAAGGGCUCAUUCCUACUCAUUGUUUUUAUAUAUUCUUAAUUUUAUAUGGGACCCUUCUCUGUAUAUGAUUGAGAAUUGUUGACGACAAGUUCAAUAUAUAUUAAAUAUUUUGAUUAAGAUAAUACUAAUCAAUUAUCCGACUGAUGUGAUAGAUCUAUUUUUUUUCUUGAAUAUAUAUUUAAUUUAAUAAUCUUAAUAAUGCAAGCUAAAUGUACGGCGGAUAAUAGGUUAAGUGCAUUAAAAAAGGAAGAAACGACAUCAUCAAUAAUAAAGAUAUACUUAAAUCUCAACAAAAUAAAGUAGUUCCCAAAAUACGUUUUAUGGACCCACAUAUUAUUCAAUGGAAUGAGAAAUUCCCAUCUAUAAAUAAACAUUUACAUGUUUAUUUUCAGAAACUCGUUAUCAUUGAAACCUACGAACCAUGUUUCAGCCUCUCACAUGAUUUUCUCGGUACCUGCUAGAAUCAAUUUACAGAAAAAAGGAUCAGCUAUAUAUACAUUGAUGAGAAAAUGUUGAACAUAUGAAGCCUGACAAUAUUGAAAUUGACUUGAUGCAGUUCAUUAAGUUCCACAUUAUAUUUAUACCUGAUGUGGGGAUGGUGUAGGUUUCCCAGGGGAAGCACACACAGUUGGGUUGGAGAGUGGUGACUGAACGUUUGAUGAAAUUGGUGAACAAAGUGCUGGAGAAUGAGUCUUUGAAGAAAGUGAACUUCCAUGACAUGAAGAAAUUGGGGAUGGCACAGGACUUCUCCAGUGAAGUUGAGAUGCCGUUGCUGCUCCGGGAGAUCUUAACGGUGAUCUUCGUGAAGGUUGCAUGUUGAUGGUGAUUCUAAAGGGGAGAUAAAGGAGUGUGAAAAUUACAUCCUGGAAUUAAUUAUAACAAGUUAAUGGUGAUCAAAUGAAAUUAAAAUUAGAGCUUACGUGUUGUGAACGGCAACAUACUCAUCAGUUUCAUCCAAUAUUUCCUCCUGCAAAAGCCAAAAGUUGGUUUUAGAAUAUAUUCCUGCAACUCUAAUCGAUAACAACAGCUAGCGAUGAAACAUAUACUAAGAAAAACCUGCAGCAGUUCCUCCAUAACAUCCUCCAGUGUAAUGAUACCAAGAACUUCCUCAUCUAAAUUUGGAAAUGAUUCCAAAUCUUCAUUUGAGAGGGUUGUCUGUUCCCAUUUCUUAAUUCUCGGACGUAAUUUCCUGCCUAGCUCCAUGUUUAAAGUUGGACUUUGGAUAUCAAUGACCGUAGAAUUUGCAGACGGUGAGCUUGAAGGAAUACUAAGCUGCUCAUUUCGAUCAUAUUGAUGCUGACCAAUGCCUGAAAAUAGGGUGAUAAUAAGCUCAUAUAUAUCAUUUUUAUUACUAUUGCAAGGGUGAAAGUUUAUAAAAAAAAAAAAAGAAAUAAGUUUCUCCUGAUCUAUGAACACUGAAAUUAUACCUUUCACCUCUGUCUUUCUCUUUUUAGAAUUUGAGCGGAUUUUUAUAUCGGGAAUGCUAGAUUUUGUUUUUGCAGUUUCUGCAGUCUCAUUUAUUAUAUCACUCUUGCACUUAACAACAACAGCCAUGUGGCUGUGGCCUUCUUGAAAUUGAUUCAAUAUAUCAUAGAGAGGUAAGCGAUCAUGAACCCUGUAAAAGAUUUAACGGUAAGAGAAUUAGUUCAUAGUAAUGCCAUCAGUUGUCACUUAAAGAACAUUAGGAAAAAACAUACUGCAAACCAAAUAUCUCUUUAGCUUUUCUAGUUUAAUGUUGAGAAAUCAUAAUAACCAUAUAUAGUACGGCAAGCAGCAGAAAAAGAUCGAGUAAAAAGUAACCUAGGAAUGCUCCUAAUAGAAAGAUCCGUAAUAGGGGUUUCAUCUUCGGGACGGUACAUGAUCAGAUUUUUCACCAGUACGAGGCCAAUGAUAUUUGCUUGGCUCCCUGAGUAGAUAGGUACACGACUAUGCCCAUUGCUUAUUAUUAGCCCCAUCGUUUUCCUGUACCGUAGAAAUAGGUUGACAAGAGGGAAAAAUAGAUGGGAUAUCAGGGCAGAGAGAUAGAAGAUCAUACUCGUUGAGUUUAGAAUUUAUGUCAAGUGAAAAAACGUCAGAUAGGGGAGUCAUAGCAUCUUUGGCCAUUUUUUGUGUCAUAUCUAGAGCUCCAGAGAUAAUGGUUGUUUCAUCAUGCGUCAAUUCUCCACCUUUCCCUGCCUAAAAUAAGCAUGAAAUAUUACCAAUUAAUUAGUUCUAGUUUUGGUAGCCUAAACCAAUGUUUUCGGACAUUAAAAUUUGUGAUCAUUUAGAAGUUUUAAUAUAAGGAAACUAACCUCAUUUCCAAGCAUGUCUACCAGUGUCUUGAGCUCAGCUCGCCGAAGGAGUGCAGAAUGCCCUUCCCCUAGCAGCAAAUCUAGCAGCUGCUAGAACAGGGAAGCAAAUAUUUAUUAUUUUCAUUAAAACUUCAUCAUUCAGUUUCCAAAGGGUUUGAAAAUUACCUUACUAAUUGGGUAAGCUACAGGGAAGAGGACUAUUACAAUGAACCGAACUAAAACUGAGAGUUUUGCUCCAACACUCAGACCAUAGCGAGAACAUACAGCUUGAGGAAUGAUCUGAACAAACAUUUCUAGCAUGUUAUUUAAAGCUACCAACAUACCAACUCACAUUAAUAUUGUGCUGUAGACGGAAGGUUUACCUCACCAAACGCCAGUAUGAGGGUAACUGAUAUCAAUAUAGCGCACCACUCGGAUAGAAGGGAAUCAAGGAAGAUUGGAAGGGCCUUAUUCAAGAACAUAGAAUUCAGAACUAAUUAGUGUUUUGAUAGACAGGAGAAAUGUAUAGGAGUAGAUGGCGUAAACAAAAUAUAUACCUCCAUUGCCAAGGCAUUGCCUAUAAGGAGGGUGCAUAAGAGUAGGUGCUGAUCCUUAACGAUAGGUAGAAUUUUCUCUGCCAUUUAAAGUUACAUAUCUCUUUUGUUAGAAAAGUCAGGAGUGAUUUGUGAGACUUGGGCAAUGAAUAUGGAGAUAUAUUAAUUUCAGUAAUUAAUUAAAGAGUGGAUUAUAAAUAACUUUAACCUGCAUUCUUCCUGUCUCGAGGUUGACCUGCCUUGAUGACAACCUCAAGAUCAACAAGACUGAGGGACAUGAGCCCCAGGGUAAGGCCAGACAUUAUGCCAGCAAAUGAUACAAGAACCAUACAAAUAACUAGAUACACCCAGAACAUAGACUCACAGCAUGGCACAUCAUCUGCUGCCAUUGUAUUAAAUGGAUACCUUGAUUUAUAGAUCAGGGUCGGUUAACGGGAAGAAGACUAUUACUAUAACUGAUCAUUAGGAGAGCAUAAAUAUACUAAAACAGCGGCAAUUAACCACAGUUGAAUGUCCCAAAAUUGGUUUAAAUACAAUGAGAAAGGCAGAAAUGAAAGCGACUGCAGCGUCAUGAGCCCCAAAACUCCGCCAACUGCCACAUUACACGCGUACUCCACGCGAAGAUGAUUAAUACUAUAUUAGAGACAGAUGACGUACGAUCAGUCUGCUAUACAAAGUUAAUUGUCAGAUUAGUUAACCAAUUAAGCCAUAAAAUUUGUUCAUAAAUUCGUGGCUUAUGACGCCACGACAACUUGAUCUCUCUCUAAUUAUUAUUCUAAAUGCAAAAUAGGUGUAAGGGAGCAGGUGGACUAACAAGUAGUGCAAAAACGAAGAAUACAAAACCUAGUUUAAAAUGGAUGAUUUCAGCAAAUGAACUGGCACUUGACAUAUAACACCCUUGAUGUCGUAAUGGAAACAAAAGAGCAGUUGAAAACCUUUGAUAAAGAAUUGGAAAAGUUAUGGCGAAAUGACCUUUUCAAUUCCAUAAAUGACCAUGUUUGAAUGUUUGCAAUUUAUAAGGGCUUCAUGUUGUUGGUGUUGUUGCCCUUUCCAUUUAAGGAAGGCUGCCUGUAUUGCAUUCUGCAGGUCCUGAAAAUUUGUUCCUGCUUUUUUCUCGUUUUGGCUAGUCUUGCUGCUUUCAUUGCAGCCAGAAGAAGCUACGGCAGAAACAACCAUCGAAGUUUCCAAGGAAUUUUAUGCAAAAUAAGUAGAUAAUUAAGGAGCUUACCGCUUUAUAAGACUGAAGACAAUUGUCAAAAUCACAAAGGAAAAGUAUGUUGUAUGAAAAUGUUAUAUCAGGUGGUGUGCUUUAUAUCUAGUUAGAAAGAAAAAAAAAACGGUAGAUAAAAUGAAGAAUUGGGGGUUCAAAUUUGAUGAAGAAAAGAAAAACAAAAUUUUAUAAAUUUACACAUAUUUGAUCUGCAAUGGCACAUACAAGAAUUGCUAGUCACUCGAUUUUACUUGCUUAAAGUUCUUUUUAUAUUAUAGGGGUUUAGGUUUUUAAUAACAUUUUU
This 5916-nucleotide long non-coding RNA is filed under the name Durio zibethinus. RNAcentral's name for it is "long non-coding RNA (DZIB_LNC002083)". Lineage: Eukaryota; Viridiplantae; Streptophyta; Magnoliopsida; Malvales; Malvaceae. The record is from RNAcentral.